UAGGGAAUCUUCGGCAAUGGGGGGAACCCUGACCGAGCAACGCCGCGUGAGUGAAGAAGGUUUUCGGAUCGUAAAGCUCUGUUGUUAAGGAAGAACGAGUGUGAGAAUGGAAAGUUCAUGCUGUGACGGUACUUAACCAGAAAGGGACGGCUAACUACGUGCCAGCAGCCGCGGUAAUACGUAGGUCCCGAGCGUUGUCCGGAUUUAUUGGGCGUAAAGCGAGCGCAGGCGGUUAGAAAAGUCUGAAGUGAAAGGCAGUGGCUCAACCAUUGUAGGCUUUGGAAACUGUUUAACUUGAGUGCAGAAGGGGAGAGUGGAAUUCCAUGUGUAGCGGUGAAAUGCGUAGAUAUAUGUAGGAACACCGGUGGCGAAAGCGGCUCUCUGGUCUGUAACUGACGCUGAGGCUCGAAAGCGUGGGGAGCGAACAGG
RNAcentral lists this ribosomal RNA (429 nucleotides) under Bacteroidota bacterium. RNAcentral describes it as "Bacteroidetes bacterium partial 16S ribosomal RNA". It matches the Rfam family "Bacterial small subunit ribosomal RNA", at positions 355 to 776 of the family's 1533-position model. RNAcentral also lists the same sequence under 1 other name. Lineage: Bacteria; Pseudomonadati; Bacteroidota. The record is from RNAcentral.